UAGCUCAGGGGUAGAGCACUCGCCUUGUAAGCGAAAGGUCGUCGGUUCUUCUUCCCCCCGGGGAUGGAUACAUAGAAAGGCUUGGGACGGCCCAAGGCCGGUG
This 103-nucleotide transfer RNA is filed under the name Mesoterricola silvestris. RNAcentral's name for it is "tRNA-Thr". The record is from RNAcentral. Lineage: Bacteria; Pseudomonadati; Acidobacteriota; Holophagae; Holophagales; Holophagaceae.